GCAGAGGCUUCUGAUGAGCAUGUAAGGGAAGCUCCUUGAGUUCUGGAGCCUGGUUCUCUCCCCUGGCCUUCUCCGUAGCUAGGCAUAUAACUGCCUAUCUUCUGUCCAUCUACUUAUCCAUCCAUCUAUCUACCCAUGCAUCCACCCGUGCAUCCAUCCAUUCACGUCUCCCUCUGUUAACGCACCAAAUAUUCGUUGAACAUCUGUUCAGAUACUUUGUCAGGCAUCCAGAUUCCUGUCAAAUGAAGAAAGUGAGAAAGGUUCCAAACAGAAUUCAGUUGUGAAAUCUGCGUUUUGUCCGACCCAUUCCCUCCUUCAUCUGAUAUGAGCAAGAUCCUGUGAUCUUUCUCUCCCACAGGGAGCCCAUUAGCUACGGUUGGGUGUUGUGCCGCACCCCUGGGGUAAGCAUGUGACCAGGCCAGGCAAAUCAGGGUGUUCUAUCCCCCUGGCCAUAAGGAUUGAUUCACGGUUCCUGACCCAAACAGACCCAAAUCCCAUAGACAUGAUAUAUGAACUCCAAAAACAAAGGUCUCUCUUCCUUUGGGAUCAUGCCCAGUAAAGAUGUUGUAAGCAGAGCCUGCUCCUGGCCGUGUUCUCUGGUCAUGGGGAGGGGACGGUCUGCAGGGCAGAGGAUGAAGCUGGCCACAGAGGGCAGUGGAGGAGGGAUGGGUGAGGUCCAAUAGUACAUGAGCGACUGAACCUGGCUGUGCUAAAGCCUGAGCUGUGUCUCUCCGGUACAAGAGCUAACACAUUUUCUUUUGUGCUUACGUUAGUUUGAGUUGGGUUCCCAUCUACUGCAACCAAAAGAGUUCUAUGUUCCAGUGUACCCUCAGAGAAGUGCCAAGUUCCGUGCUGCUGAAGAUGAGGUUUGGGAUGUAAGGAUGUGUCUUUGUGACUCUUUGGGAAAGAGAGAGGAUUCGGAGAGAAGGAGAGGGAAAGAAAGAUGCUCAAGAGGAAAGGACAAUGUGGACCAGCAUUAGCCAGUAUGAUUUUCUGCAAUGGUGGAAAUGCUUCUGUGAUCUGUGCUGUCUAAUUUGGCAGCCAGAAGCCCCCAGGGGCUGUUGACACUUGGCAAUUGGCCAGUAUGACUGAGGAACUGAAGUUUACAUUUUAUUUAAUUGUAAUUGAUUUAAAUACUGGCUAGUGGCUACUGUAUUGGACAGUGCAGGUGUGGACCACAGCCCUGGGGGAGGAAGUAUGAGGAAAAGUGAGCACUUCUGAGGGACUG
This 1228-nucleotide long non-coding RNA is filed under the name Macaca fascicularis (crab-eating macaque). RNAcentral's name for it is "lncRNA (ENSMFAG00000051682.1)". The record is from RNAcentral. Lineage: Eukaryota; Metazoa; Chordata; Mammalia; Primates; Cercopithecidae.